Long non-coding RNA from Sphaerodactylus townsendi, 459 nucleotides. RefSeq lists it as uncharacterized. The transcript has 5 exons. The record is from RefSeq and is a predicted model, not a curated record. Lineage: Eukaryota; Metazoa; Chordata; Lepidosauria; Squamata; Sphaerodactylidae.
GUUGAGCCAUUUCAGACUGUGCUGUUCUAUAAAAACCCAAGCAAUCCCAUUUUCUUCUCUGAGAACUACCUUCUGCUGUUUGGCUGGAUCAGCGGCCUUGUUUUUGUUCAUUGAUUCUGUGCUUCUGGUUUGUGUGACUGUUCCUAUUAAAACACAGCAUUAUGGAUUCUGCCAAAAAACCACAGGAGUCUGGAAAAGAGAAAGAAUCGCAUGAGAAACACAGCGGAUGCCACAGUCAUGGCCAAACUCAUUGCCAUGAGAAAGGCCAAGGUCACGGACAAUGUCAACAGCAAGGGGAGAGUUCGAAGUGUCACGGUCAUUGCCACGGCCAAGCUUCCGGAGAAGGACAGCACAAAUGAACCCCACUUGGGUCAAACGUCAUUGAACACAAUACCAUACAAAUACCACCCAAUUACUUUUUAAAUUCAGAAAUACUUAUUAAAUUUGAGGAAACAGAAA